UGAUGAGGAGGCGCACCUCGCUGGGAG
RNAcentral lists this small RNA (27 nucleotides) under Bombyx mori (domestic silkworm). RNAcentral's name for it is "ovarian small RNA-32814". Lineage: Eukaryota; Metazoa; Arthropoda; Insecta; Lepidoptera; Bombycidae. The record is from RNAcentral.